RNAcentral lists this ribosomal RNA (467 nucleotides) under uncultured bacterium. RNAcentral's name for it is "partial 16S ribosomal RNA". It matches the Rfam family "Bacterial small subunit ribosomal RNA", at positions 29 to 507 of the family's 1533-position model. The record is from RNAcentral.
ACGAACGCUGGCGGCGUGCUUAACCCAUGCAAGUCGAGCGGAAAGGCCCUGCUUUUGUGGGGUGCUCGAGUGGCGAACGGGUGAGUAACACGUGAGUAACCUGCCCUUGACUUUGGGAUAACUUCAGGAAACUGGGGCUAAUACCGGAUAGGAGCUCCUGCUGCAUGGUGGGGGUUGGAAAGUUUCGGCGGUUGGGGAUGGACUCGCGGCUUAUCAGCUUGUUGGUGGGGUAGUGGCUUACCAAGGCUUUGACGGGUAGCCGGCCUGAGAGGGUGACCGGCCACAUUGGGACUGAGAUACGGCCCAGACUCCUACGGGAGGCAGCAGUGGGGAAUAUUGCACAAUGGGCGGAAGCCUGAUGCAGCAACGCCGCGUGCGGGAUGACGGCCUUCGGGUUGUAAACCGCUUUCGCCUGUGACGAAGCGUGAGUGACGGUAAUGGGUAAAGAAGCACCGGCUAACUACGUG